ACAAAUACGACAGACUGAGGCAGGAAAAAGGAAACUAGUGCUGGGAUCACAGACUGGGAAGCUACACAAGGAAGCAACAACAGCUGGGAGACGAGUCAAAGAAACACAACAAACUGGCAGUUAGUGCAGUGGAGAGUGGGCCUGAAUACAAAACCACUCAGGUGAGAAACCUGGUGCAGGUGAGGAUAAUUAGCAGCCUCAACGUGAACCUGCUGGUGAGGAGCAAAACAAAGCCAGGAGUGGAAAUGUUGGUCGGUGACAGAAAUACAGGAUAUCUAAUAUGGUGGUGACAAAACAAGUGACUCCACAGCAUCAAUGUGCAAACAAGGUGACAUCACAUGGUGCUUCAGUGUUCCUGCUUUUAUCCAGACUGGAUGUGAACGUCUCAUGGAAACACAAGGUGACCAUGGCCGUACCGGCUGCGCUGAUCCCACCAACUCCUCUGGUCCCACCGCCUCCGAUCUCCACUCCCUCCGCCACCACAUCCCCUCCGUCGACAACUUCGUCUCCGUCUCCAUCCCUGGCACCGCCGCCCACCGGACCGGCUCAGAACCUCUUCAGAUCGGAGCUCUUGGCCACCAGCAGCCCGGGCAUCCCGACCCCGAGCGCGGCUCUUCCGCCGGGCAAACCCGUGUACUCGACCCCUUCCCCCGUUGAGAACAUACCGCAGAACAACGAGUGUAAGAUGGUGGAGUUGCGCGGUGCCAAAGUGGCCUCGUUCACCGUGGAGGGCAGCGAACUCAUCUGCCUGCCCCAGGCGUUCGACCUGUUCCUGAAGCACCUGGUCGGCGGACUGCACACCGUCUACACCAAGCUGAAGCGGCUGGACAUCACCCCGGUGGUGUGCAACGUGGAGCAGGUGCGCAUCCUCAGAGGGCUCGGCGCCAUCCAGCCCGGCGUGAACCGCUGCAAACUCAUCUCCAGGAAAGACUUCGAGACUCUCUACAACGACUGCACCAACGCGAGCUCCAGACCUGGUCGACCUCCGAAGAGGACCCAGAGCGUGACAUCUCCGGAGAACCCCCACAUCAUGCCCCACUCAGUCCCAGGGCUCAUGUCCCCUGGCAUGAUCCCACCCACAGCUUGGUCGUCAAGAAAGCAGUGCCAGUACGGAACUGUACCAAUCUUCAGAUGUUUGAAUCCCAGUCUGAUGACAUUAUCAUGUCAAUCUGUUGACGAAGCAGGCCUGACAGCGGCGGCGGCAGCAGCUGCCAACGCAGCCAUCGCAGAGGCCAUGAAGGUGAAGAAGAUCAAACUGGAGGCGAUGAGCGGCUACCACAGCAGCGCCAACCACCACGGGGCCGACGGGGAGAACGGAGACCUGAGCUCCAGUGUCGGCCUGGAACUCCCCUUCAUGAUGAUGCCACACCCCCUGAUCCCUGUCAGCCUGCCCCCAGCCUCUGUCACCAUGGCGAUGAGUCAGAUGAACCACCUCAGCACCAUUGCAAACAUGGCUGCUGCUGCACAAGGCCAGAGCCUGCCCUCCAGAAUGGUCACCUCUGUUAUAAAGGGGUUCCAGGAACGCGUGCCGGACAGUCCCUCUCCUGCCCCGUCCUUGGAAGACAACAGGAGGCCCGGCAGUCACCCAUCAUCUCACCGCAGCAGCAGUGUGUCCAGCUCCCCCGCCCACACAGAAAGCUCCUCAGACAGGAUACCAGCUAUCCACCACAACGGCCUGUCCAUGAACCAAGCUCUGCUCGGCCUGUCCCCCAACAUCCCACCUGGUCCUAAAGAGGGAGAUCUGGCCCACGACAUGAGCCAUGAAGUCAAGAGGAUGCAUGUUGACAAAGCCGGCUCCCUUCAGUUACGCCUGCCACAUCUCUUUUACACCCAGCUAGAAGGUCUGACAGGAGAGCUCAGAGACAGCUACGAAGACAACCCCCUGUGCACUCCAACAGCCAGAGACAGCUACGAGAGGUUGUCAUUGGCCGGACAGGCUCUACCUCCAGGUUUCCCUUCACCAUUUCUCUUCCCAGAUGGUCUGUCAUCAAUAGAGACUCUGCUCACAAACAUACAGGGCCUGCUCAAAGUGGCGAUUGACAACGCUCGGGCCCAGGAGAAGCAGGUGCAGCUGGAGAAGACGGAGCUGAAGAUGGAGUUGUUCAGAGAGAAGGAGCUCAGGGAGACUCUGGAGAAGCAGCUCGCCAUGGAGCAGAAGAACAGAGCGAUUAUUCAGAAGCGUCUGAAGAAGGAGAAGAAGGCCAAGAGGAAACUGCAGGAAGCUCUGGAGUACGAGUCGAAGAGGAGAGAGCAGGUGGAGCAGAGCCUGAAGCAGCCCUCGCCCAACGACAGCAUGCGUUCACUCAACGGUCAGACGCUUCACAAAGGAUCUAUGAACAGACUCUCUGACCCCUGAGAUGGAGAGUGACCGCAGCAGUGGAAGAACAGAUGCUGAAAGGACAAUACAAGACAUAUUCAAUAGGACACAGAUCUGGACCGCAGGCAGAUGGAAGACUGUUCCUGAAAACUGCAGUGAUGUACUGAUGAGGCCAUGAGAAGAUCCAGGAGACAGUGGAAGUAAAAAGUUACACAAAACAAAACUAAAAAAACACGGUUUAAAAAAUAAGAGAAAAAGAAAAGCAAGAAAAGUCUUGAAAAUUCUCCAAAGCUCUGAUCCAGUCUGAUAAAAAAAGUGGAAAAAAAGCUGUUUUCACCAGGAGAAGGUUGAGUCUGAAUGUAGGAUAAAAGAAGUCUCUCGUUUUUAAUCCCAGCGGCCGAUGUGAGGGAAUUAGCAGGUGUUUGGGCCGACGUGAAGGCUAAACAUAUAUAUAUAUAUAUAUAUAUAUAUAUAUUGAGCACAGUUAAAAAAAAAUGUACCCGUGGUACAAUGUUGGUAAUAAGUCAUAAACAAAUGAAUAAAUCCACAGCACUGAAGAUUUUUUAUACUGUAUCUCUGCCAGCGAGAAAGCUUCAAAAAAAAAAGAAAAUUGACUGAAGUUUUUCUUUGUUUUUUUUUUUGUAUUUCAAAUUGAAUUCAAAAGUCUCAAAAUGACCCGUGGGGACGAUGAAGGUCAUGAUGACAAAAAAAUAAUAAUGUGAAUCUCAUGAAAAGAGAAGAGGAUGUUGGGUUUUAAUGUCUUUUCUAAAUUAGAUGACAAAUACAAUCAAGUUUCCUUUUUACCAUUGUUGUAUAUAUAUAUGAUGAAGAUCGGACAAUUGCGAUAGGAAUCCAGCCCCCUAGUGGAUCAGUGAGGUAUGUGUAUAUAAUGUUCAAAAAGGUAUUGUGUAUGCAGUAGAGCUAUUAGGCAAACAAUACCACCCGUUUAUAUAAAUCUCCACUUUUGUUUCCUUCUCUUUCUGAGCCAUCAUCCUUUUUCCUAUAGCUGCCAUUUUUGGUGAGAAAGCAUGCAGGCAUGUAAAUGUUUGUCCUGGAAUUAUGAUAUUUAAUAAAAAUCCUAUAUUGUGCUGAACAAAUACUAGGGUUGACGUCACUCCAGAGCCCAGGUUGAUUUUUUUUUCUUUUUGGAAAAACAAAAUAUAACUCUUGAUGAUACAUUUCACUUUCAAAAAUGAAGACCUUUUUUUCCUGUCAAUAGUACUGUAAUCUUUGUAACAGAGGUUCAUAUUUCUUGGAAUUUUACUGUACAUUUGUCAUGAGACACUCGUUAAAAAAACAAGAAGGAAAAAAAAAAGAAAUCAGCACCUCAAUACUGUUUUUAAAAAAAGACAAAAAAAAAAAUCACCUAUCAUACCCUGACUAAUUAAUGAAGAACACUGGGAAACAAUCAGCUGUGACACGCACACAUUAGGGAUGUGCACCUCGUUAACAGUGUUGAUAGAAAGUUUACACACCUCUGUGGAAGUGCUAGGUAUUUUUGAGUGAAAUAGCGCCACCAAGCUGUUAAGUAUUAGAACUUUAAUGGCAGAAAUAUCGAACUCAACCACCAGCAGGUUUCUCAGUGGGGGUGGUAUUUAUUUUGUUUUGAGCCCAGUAUACAGUCGGCCUCAGUACUGAGUACUGUGGCUCCAUGUAACUGGGUAUGUUGGACCAACUGGACAGAGGCUACUGUUAAAGGUCAGGGAAAUCAGUCCCAUAGAAUGAACCAAUCACCAAUGAGCUUAACAGUGACUACAGUGUUUUCAUGGUGAUGUGUUGAUUUAACCCACCCAUAGACAGGCGGCAACACUGCUGUUUGAAUCAACAAUCCUCUACUCACUCAACCUCUGGGCCACAGGAUGUCCGCUAACACUGCGUUGCUAACCAAACCCAUUGGAAUAAAAAGAUAAGAAAAACGCUUAUAUCGCGUUGCUUGAUCAUUUUUAGAUAUCUGCCUCAUUGAGACCUGUCAGUCGGUCACAUAGUAAAUAAGCUACAGAUAGUCUUACCAGAGAGUCCCUCCUUGUGGCUAACGUUAGCCCGGUGGUUCUCAUUUUAAUUUCUGUCAUGCCCCUUGUCCUUUAGGGGACAGACAUAUUUUCACGCCCCCCGGUCCGUCCGACCCACACCCCUGUGAAUUGAAAUACUAUUGAAAACCUAAUAACGUAUGUUUUUAUCUGUACAAACAACUGUAUGAGUUGCUGCCACCUAGUGACUGGAGGCUUGUUAUCGUUCAAGCAUUACAGCAGUGGUACACUGAUGUCCAGGGUUCCAUAUUCCAUUGGAAGCCCCUCCGCCCCCCCGGCACCUCACCGUGCCCACCCUGGGUGGUCCGCCCCACUAUAGCAGCACUGCGUUAGCCCAUGCUGCAGUGUUGGCGUCCACACACGGUGAUUUCCUCCAUCGUUUGCAAACGUCUGUAUAAUACUUUCACUUCCUUCUAAUGACUGAAAAGCUUCAGCUUCAGGUUAAGAAUCACACUACCACCAGUCACUACACUAGAUCACAUGGUCUUUGUUGUGGGCUAAGUUUCGUGGCACAAACUUCUCAAUCCAAACUUUAGUGUUCAGUAUUUCCUGCCUAAUUGGAUAUUUGUUGGUUUUUAAUCAAAUUUAGAAAACAAAGCACACGUUAAUCACUUGGUGUUGUUAUUCCACACUGGAAAAGGAGUGUUUAUGGGGUGUGUAAACUUUGUGUUUUCCCAGACACUGUGUUUUCUGCUCUAAUCUCUUUGGACAUUUUUAUAUAGUGUGUCACGAUGGCCUGAUGAGUAGAAGGAGAAGAAGAAGAACUCACGAGAAGUCUGAUUUGUCUUCUUACUUUGCCUGAAGGUUUGAAUUUCAGUGCUGUGUAUAUUCUCUCAGAACAUACGCUGAUGUCAGUCUUUUUACCUAGCAACCAGUUUCUGUGUUACAAUCAGGAGGUGGAGGAGGAGAUGAUGGAGGUGGAAGAGGGGUGUGUCAUGUUUCACGAUGUGUUUGUUCAUUUUCGUUCUCUAUGGAGGUGUCUAGGUCUGUCGUCACUGAUAACUUAUAUAGCUUCUUGAAAUCAUCUCUUCAUUGUAUUUCAAAUUCAAAUAAAGUUAACAUGUUGAUGAUAA
Molecule: RNA transcript, 5417 nt
Organism: Cynoglossus semilaevis (tongue sole)
Lineage: Eukaryota; Metazoa; Chordata; Actinopteri; Pleuronectiformes; Cynoglossidae
Gene: dachd
Gene name: dachshund d
Exons: 17
Source: RefSeq, a predicted model, not a curated record